GACGAACGCUGGCGGCGUGCUUAACACAUGCAAGUCGAACGAGAUCCAUGGAGUAGCAAUACUCCGGAAGAUCUAGUGGCGAACGGGUGAGUAACACGUGAGCAACCUGCCCUAAAGACUGGGAUAACCCCGGGAAACCGGAGCUAAUACCGGAUGUCCUCGUCGGAUCGCAUGGUCUGAUGAGGAAAUGAAUUUCGCUUUAGGAGGGGCUCGCGGGAUAUCAGCUUGNGGUGGGGUAACGGCCUACCAAGGCUUCGACGUCUAGCUGGUCUGAGAGGACGAUCAGCCACACUGGGACUGAGACACGGCCCAGACUCCUACGGGAGGCAGCAGUGGGGAAUCUUGCCCAAUGGGGGAAACCCUGAGGCAGCAACGCCGCGUGCGGGAUGACGGCCU
Molecule: ribosomal RNA, 396 nt
Filed under: uncultured bacterium
Lineage: Bacteria
Description: bacterial SSU rRNA
Rfam family: Bacterial small subunit ribosomal RNA
Source: RNAcentral